This is a long non-coding RNA of Taeniopygia guttata (zebra finch), 1767 nucleotides long. The record is from Ensembl. NCBI's taxonomy places the organism in Eukaryota, Metazoa, Chordata, Aves, Passeriformes, Estrildidae.
UUUUUUUUUUUUUUUUUUUUUUUUUGUGUCAAUACUGUGGAAGUCAAGAGCCAUGUUUUGUCUUCUGGAAAAAUCAAUCCAGCUGGAUGUAAAGCAACUAAAGCACAGUCAUUUUUUAAAGCCAUGGGGUUUAAACUCAAACAUGUGGGUCUUGGUUUUGGUUGUCUUCUGGUGAAUUUAUGAACCUCACAUUCCUGGUUUCCAAAGACUGUGUACUGUUUGCAGCUUUUAAUAGCUGGCCUUGAUUAGUGGUAAUGUGCCACACUGAGAAGAGAAAGCACUUAAUUUUGUCACCUUGCUCAACUACUUUAAAGAGGGAUCUUUUCCCAAAUUAUUCUUGAUUCCAAGGUGGAAAUCAGAUUGCUCAGAUUCUUGAAAACCCUGACAAGACAUGUUUUGUAUAUUAAAUGCAUAUUAAUUCUUUAACCUUUAUUAAUAGAAGAUUUAUUUUACCAUAACAGAUAAAUGUGGCCUGUGUAAAAUAGAGGUGAGCACAGCAGCAGAAUAGAAGAAAUUUACUUCCUUAGCAUUUUGAUGGAAUUGCUUUUUAGUUGGAGAAAUCUAAUUUUAUUUCCUUAGCUGAUGAGGUUAAAUUUUACUAGGGUAAAAUAUCUUAGAGAGUUUAAGAACUGAAAAUAUUUUCUUUAAUUCAAUAACUGUGUUAGAUAAAGCUAAAACUUGAGUACAGUAUAUUACUUUCCUACUUGCACCUCUGUGUACUGCUUAUUGCAUUGUCUGAUUGUACUGAUACCACUAAAGUGUCCUUCAUCAUUUUUCUUUUGAAAUUCCAGCAUUUCUGGCUACUUUUAUCAUGAAAGAAAAGCUUUACCAAACAUUGACAGCAGUCAGUAUUCAUUCAAACUGAAAGUUUUAAAGUAAUAACAGAUUUUUUUUCCUAUUGCAUAUAAGCAAGCUCAUUUCAUUUUGUUAUGAGUGGUUUUGCUUUAGGAUCCAGAAUCUAUUCAAUAUCGGAUUUCUGCACGUUGAUUGAAAUGCAUUGAGCUGUUACAUCAAAUGGCACAUACUGGAUAGUGAAAACUCUCCUUCCAGUAGCUUGUGCUACUGGAAGUUACUGCAAAUAUAUGGAAAGGAUUCCAAGUUAAUAAUUGUUUAGUUUGCUUUGUUAGUUGCUAGAUAGGGGCUGAAAUCUCCUGGGGUAUUACAACCAAGCUGUGUUUGAAUUACCAAGGUGAUGUUUGCUUUCUUCCUGUUGAUCAUCUCCCAGCUCAUGCUGGCCCAAUUGCUACUGGGGAUGGGUUUCAAACCCUUACAGGGGGUGUUUUAAAGUAUUUCUGAUACUGACAAUUAAAUACCCAUUAAUUCUUCCUUUCAAAAAGGGAAGUCAGUUUCUUCAGCAGCCUAUGAUCUUGGUCAAGAGCUUUCAGGUACAGAACUAAAAUCUCAAUGAAAUUAGUUUAGAAAAUGUUUUCUUUUCCUAUACUGGAUUUUUAACAUAAAACAUCUUACAGUCAAAGGUGUUGAGGCAACAUGAACAGCUGCGUCUUCUGUUCCUCAUUCCCUGGUUGUUUUUGUGCAAACUUCUGUAGGCAUGUAACAAAAGCAUGGGAGUUUUGUUAGGAAUAAGUCUUUACAUGAAAGUGAUAGUACUGGAAUUUUUUUAUCUCUUUGCUUACAUCCUCAUGUGGUAGCUGUAGUUUUGUAUGGUUUUCAUUUGUAACUGUUGGCAGUGGGUACACUGCAGCUGGGGAUCUGAAGGUGUAAUUGCUCACCUCAUUUUUCACAUCAUUAUUCAAAAGAAAAAAAAAA